GUGGGGAAUCUUCCGCAAUGGACGAAAGUCUGACGGAGCAACGCCGCGUGAGUGAUGAAGGUCUUCGGAUUGUAAAGCUCUGUUAAUCGGGACGAAAGAGCCUAGUGUGAAUAAUGCUAGGAAGUGACGGUACCGGAAUAGAAAGCCACGGCUAACUACGUGCCAGCAGCCGCGGUAAUACGUAGGUGGCAAGCGUUGUCCGGAAUUAUUGGGCGUAAAGCGCGCGCAGGCGGAUCUGCCAGUCUGUCUUAAAAGUUCGGGGCUUAACCACGUGAUGGAAUGGAAACUACAGAUCUAGAGUAUCGGAGAGGAAAGUGGAAUUCCUAGUGUAGCGGUGAAAUGCGUAGAUAUUAGGAAGAACACCAGUGGCGAAGGCGACUUUCUGGACGAAAACUGACGCUGAGGCGCGAAAGCCAGGGGAGCGAACGGGAUUAGAAACCCGGGUAGUCC
Molecule: ribosomal RNA, 450 nt
Filed under: uncultured bacterium
Lineage: Bacteria
Description: partial 16S ribosomal RNA
Rfam family: Bacterial small subunit ribosomal RNA
Source: RNAcentral